UGCGAGCGAACAGGGAAGAGCCCAGCACCGAAUCCCGCGGCCGAUAUCGGACGCCGGGAAAUGUGGUGUUAGGGAGGAUCCGUCUAUCCCGAGAUCGUGCGGUGCGUCCAAGUCCUUCUUGAACGGGGCCACAGCCCAUAGAGGGUGCCAGGCCCGUAGCGACCGCUGCCGAUCGCGGGAGGAUCUCUCCUCAGAGUCGGGUUGCUUGAGAGUGCAGCCCUAAGCGGGUGGUAAACUCCAUCUAAGGCUAAAUAUGACCACGAGACCGAUAGCGAACAAGUACCGUGAGGGAAAGUUGAAAAGCACUUUGAAGAGAGAGUUCAAGAGUACGUGAAACCGUUCAGGGGUAAACCUGAGAAGCCCGAAAGGUCGAAAGGGGAAAUUCAUUCGCGUUUCGGCCGUCGGCGUCGGAUGGUCGCGUGACGGAUGGCGUACGCGUCGUCCGCGCCUUCCGUUCGUCGAACCGGCGUCGAACGCGUGCACUUUUCCCCUAGUAGGACGUCGCGAUCCGUUGGGUGUCGGUCUACGGCCUACGGUGGAGACCGUGCGGUCGCUUCGCGGCGUAUCGCACGGACCCGUGGUGUCCCCCGGCCGACCCGCUCGACGGUAUACAGAUGGCGCGGGGCCGCUAACUUUUAGUUAGCGUUCGGC
Molecule: ribosomal RNA, 651 nt
Filed under: Phymatodes maaki
Lineage: Eukaryota; Metazoa; Arthropoda; Insecta; Coleoptera; Cerambycidae
Description: eukaryotic LSU rRNA
Rfam family: Eukaryotic large subunit ribosomal RNA
Source: RNAcentral